RNAcentral lists this ribosomal RNA (254 nucleotides) under uncultured bacterium. Its description in RNAcentral is "partial 16S ribosomal RNA". It matches the Rfam family "Bacterial small subunit ribosomal RNA", at positions 1247 to 1500 of the family's 1533-position model. The record is from RNAcentral.
AAGCAAAGCCGCGAGGCGGAGCGAAUCCCCAAAAGGCGUCUCAGUUCGGAUUGCAGGCUGCAACUCGCCUGUAUGAAGUCGGAAUUGCUAGUAAUCGUGGAUCAGCAUGCCACGGUGAAUACGUUCCCGGGCCUUGUACACACCGCCCGUCACACCAUGAGAGCCGGGAACACCCGAAGUCCGUAGUCUAACCUAUAUGGAGGACGCGGCCGAAGGUGGGUUUGGUAAUUGGGGUGAAGUCGUAACAAGGUACC